GGUGAGAUGGGUGAGUGGCUGAAACCAACAGUUUGCUAAACUGUCGUACGGGCAACCGUACCCCGGGUUCGAAUCCCGGUCUCACCG
Molecule: transfer RNA, 87 nt
Filed under: Sphingobacteriaceae bacterium
Lineage: Bacteria; Pseudomonadati; Bacteroidota; Sphingobacteriia; Sphingobacteriales; Sphingobacteriaceae
Description: tRNA-Ser
Rfam family: tRNA
About the family: Transfer RNA (tRNA) molecules are approximately 80 nucleotides in length.
Source: RNAcentral